Long non-coding RNA from Talpa occidentalis (Iberian mole), 708 nucleotides. RefSeq lists it as uncharacterized. The transcript is spliced from 4 exons. NCBI's taxonomy places the organism in Eukaryota, Metazoa, Chordata, Mammalia, Eulipotyphla, Talpidae. The record is from RefSeq and is a predicted model, not a curated record.
CACGUGCCAGAGCUCCGCCCGUCGCCACCGCAGGAGCGCCUCUGGGUUGAGACAUCAGUGAGUUCUUCAGGUCUGACCAGCAGGAAACAGCCAGUUCCCAGAACACCCUUUCAGUUCCCAAAGAAGUCUUGAAGAAAGCCAUUCAGGAGAGCUCCAUGUAUAAAAAGGGACAGACCAAGUGUUUUCCUUCCACUUGCAAGCUGUUGCCAUACCUCAGAGUCUAGGAUGCAGAAAAGAAAGGUGGUGAUCAGCUGGCUCAUUCCAGGAAUAGAUGAAAACACAAAAAUGAAGGCACACAGAUGAGAGGUCAUGUACGGACACAAUGAGAAGCUUGCAUCCUCAAGCCAAAGAGAGACACCUCUGUAGAAGCCAAUCAUGAUGACUCUUAUUCUUGGACUUCUAGACUCCAGAACUGUUAAAAGAAACAUUCUAUCAAGAAAUAAAAAACAAAAUUUGGAUAUAAAGUUACCAGGAACUUGAAUAAGGAGAGUCAUCAUCUUUCCUAUCAUGGCAUCCAUUUGGAAGGCCCUGCCCACUACAAUUAUUUUUCCUCUAUUACCAUUUACCUUUACAAUAACACUUAGAUGUCAUAUUCUCCAAAAAAGCACUACCUGACUUCUAUAACCUGGGUCGGUAUUCUUUUCUGUGUCAUCAUAGCACAUGUCUUCUGUGAGAGUAUAAUAAAUGUUUAUGCAGUUUAUUCUUUUC